GAUGAACGCUGGCGGCGUGCCUAAAACAUGCAAGUCGAGCGAACAGAUGAGGAGCUUGCUCCUCUGACGUUAGCGGCGGACGGGUGAGUAACACGUGGAUAACCUACCUAUAAGACUGGGAUAACUUCGGGAAACCGGAGCUAAUACCGGAUAAUAUAUUGAACCGCAUGGUUCAAUAGUGAAAGACGGUUUUGCUGUCACUUAUAGAUGGAUCCGCGCCGCAUUAGCUAGUUGGUAAGGUAACGGCUUACCAAGGCAACGAUGCGUAGCCGACCUGAGAGGGUGAUCGGCCACACUGGAACUGAGACACGGUCCAGACUCCUACGGGAGGCAGCAGUAGGGAAUCCUCCGCAAUGGGCGAAAGCCUGACGGAGCAACGCCGCGUGAGUGAUGAAGGUCUUCGGAUCGUAAAACUCUGUUAUUAGGGAAGAACAAAUGUGUAAGUAACUAUGCACGUCUUGACGGUACCUAAUCAGAAAGCCACGGCUAACUACGUG
This 497-nucleotide ribosomal RNA is filed under the name uncultured bacterium. RNAcentral's name for it is "partial 16S ribosomal RNA". It matches the Rfam family "Bacterial small subunit ribosomal RNA", at positions 28 to 507 of the family's 1533-position model. The record is from RNAcentral.